AACGAGGAAAAAAAUAGCUACUAUUGAUUUGUUUUUGCAGAGAUAUAUUUUUUGGAGCAUCUGAUGUAACGUGGUUCUAUUUAAGUGGCAUGCUCCUUCCUACACACUAGAAUAGUUUGCUUGGUGAUGUCACGAGGUGGCUCCAUCCUGCCAUUGUGCUUGAUAUGAUUAAACCACUACAUCCAAUCCUAUCUCCAAGGCCUUACAAGCCACAUCCUAAAGCACAAGCCCUACCUCUGUCCCAAUACAACACUCCCCCAUGUGCCUCUGUUCGUACCUGUGUUUGAACUUUGUUUAAUAAAUACC
Salmo salar (Atlantic salmon) is the source of this 306-nucleotide non-coding RNA. NCBI's taxonomy places the organism in Eukaryota, Metazoa, Chordata, Actinopteri, Salmoniformes, Salmonidae. The record is from RefSeq and is a predicted model, not a curated record.